Molecule: long non-coding RNA, 2539 nt
Filed under: Rattus norvegicus (Norway rat)
Lineage: Eukaryota; Metazoa; Chordata; Mammalia; Rodentia; Muridae
Description: long non-coding RNA NONRATT005412
Source: RNAcentral
GUCACAGACACAGCAAAAGUAUGAAUGUGGCCAGCUUCAUUUUCUCUUGUGAGAUAGAACAAAUGGUCCAGGUGCUUUGUAUCAAUGGGCUCUUGGAGCACAAGCCCUUACUGACUUCACCUAUGUAAGCCCUGGGUCUGUCUGUUGGGAUAGUUGUAGCUGUACUUUGUCUCUACUGCAUGAAUAAUUUACUAUCUAGGUAUAUUCUGUGUACCUGUGGAUCACUUGAUAGACAUUUAGAUGCAAGUUUCUUUUUGGCAUCUAAAAAAAAAAAUCAAAACCAGUUCAAAGCUUUAAAAUUAUCAAAUGUGGGGUUUUGUUUUUUUUUUUUCCCCCUUCUGGCCUGUGUGACAUUUGAUUCUGUAGGAAAGAUAAGAAGUGGAUGACUUACACUUUCAGGUCAAAAGGUCUGAACUGAGGUUAACUGUUAGCACAGAGAACAAGUGAGGACAGGAGGAUAAAACUUCCCAGAGGGGUAAUAGGGAUGGAAAGAGGAGACCCUCGGAUUUAAACACACACGCACGCAUGCACACUCACUCUGUCUCCCCUCUAUCCUGUUUCUAUGGAGAAUAUCCUGGUUCUGGGGUUUUUCAUUUUGGCAAUAUUGCCAGAGGAGGAACAUGCCUAUAAUCACAACACUUGAGAGAUAGAAAGAAGCAGGAGGAUUAGAGCUCAGUGCCGCCCUAGGCUCCAUAGCAGGCCUUGACUGCAUGACAUUUCUUCCCAAAGAACGAAGUCCUACUCAUUGGCCCAAGGGGUAAAGUUUUCCAAUGAAUGUUGACUUCUGUAUGGCUGGGGGUUUUAGGGAUGGGAUGUAUAUUAUAAGGGUCAAUAUCAGCCAUCAUCAGUCUUAGCUGCAAAUAUUUUGACAUUAAUUUUUUUAAACACUUUUGUUUUUUUUAGAGUUAUUUUAUGUGUGGGUACACUGUCACUGUCUUCACACACACCAAAAGAGGGCAUCAGACCCCAUUACAGAUGGUUUAAGCCACCAUGUGGUUGCUGGGAAUUGAACUCAGGACCUCUGGAAGACCAGUCAGUGCUCUUAACCACUGAGCCAUCUCUCCAGUCCUUGACAUUAAUUUUACAAAUAUCUAUGACCUCAUUUAGUCAAAGUGAAGGUGUUUAUAUGAUUUUUAAAAAUCAAAAUAUGGAACUACCGAAUAUAAUUUUUAAACUUUACAGGCAAUGGCAGGCCAAUCUCUGUGAGUUCAAGUCUAGCCUGAUCUACAUAAUGAGUUCCCGGCCAGCCAGGGCAACAUAGUGAGACCCUAUCUAUAACAAAAGCUUCUUAUUUCUAAGGCAAACCCAGUGAUAGGUGGCAUUUUUGAUGACUACACUAAUAAUGUUCCUUGAAUGUGUCUUUACUAUUUUGUGACGCUGGGAACCUAACCCUAACCCAGGACUUUGUCCAUGACUAUAACUGCUCCACCACCAAGCUGCACCUCUAGACACGAGGGCCACAGAUUUUUGGAGCGCGAGGAAGUUUGGGGUUUUUUUUUGCCUCAUAGAUUAUGCUGUUGUGAAAGUAAAGUCCUACCAGUAAAUAUCUGUGUUCGUGAUAAUCUAGGAAUCAUCUAGAACAGUGAGCUGUUUUUAGGAUCUCUAUUUGAGACUUCAGAAAGGUGGAGUAGUUUUGGUUUGGUUGCUGGGGAGUGACCCAGGCCUGCACGUGUGAAGCAGGCAAUGCUACCACUAAGCUACAACCUAAGACCCAAAAUGGGGUAAUGAAUGUAUGCUGUGCUUCAGAAAGAUUUCCCUCAGCCUUCCAGAGGUGUCACAGGGUAGUGAGGCAGAUGUCACGUUCAGAACAAGGUUCCCUCUAAGACGGGAGUCUGUGUGCUGAGGAGGUCUUACUGUGGGGUGAGCUGCUGGUGACUGACCUGUGCUGUUUUGCAGUGUAUGCUGACGGCAGCAUAUGCUUAGACAUCCUGCAGAACCGAUGGAGCCCCACGUACGACGUCUCCUCCAUCUUAACUUCAAUUCAGUCUCUGUUGGAUGAGCCGAAUCCAAACAGUCCGGCCAAUAGCCAAGCAGCACAGCUUUAUCAGGAAAACAAACGGGAGUAUGAGAAGAGGGUUUCGGCCAUUGUUGAGCAGAGCUGGAAUGACUCAUAAUAGACACCUGGUCUGUCCACCUUUCCAUCGUCGUUGUGUAUAAUUUACCUCCCAGUAGGAAGGCUAGCAAGUUUUAAGUGCCACGGGUUUUAAGGAUUCUGCAGAGAAAAAAGAAAAAGUCCUUCAGUUUAGAACCUACAAAAGCUUGUGUAUCUUGAUUAAUGUACUUUUUAUUGCAUGGUGUGAACUAAGUUAUUGCUGCAUAAAUUUGUAAUAUAUCCUGUUUGUAUUUUUUUCCAAGUGUAUAAUGUUGGUGUGGAGUUUUCAUGACAGAAUAUACACAUUUUGUAAAUCUGUACUUUUUUCAAAUAUUGAAUGCCUUAUUUUUGAAUUCUUUAGAUUUUUAAAUUGGAGAAAAGCACUUAAAGUUUUUUAUAUAUGAAUAUUACAUGUAAAGCUGUUAAAAUACAUAACUUCAGUGCAAG